RNAcentral lists this transfer RNA (73 nucleotides) under Danio rerio (zebrafish). Its description in RNAcentral is "tRNA-Val (CAC) (tRNA-Val-CAC-49-1, tRNA-Val-CAC-49-2)". It matches the Rfam family "tRNA". Rfam says of the family: Transfer RNA (tRNA) molecules are approximately 80 nucleotides in length. Their secondary structure includes four short double-helical elements and three loops (D, anti-codon, and T loops). Lineage: Eukaryota; Metazoa; Chordata; Actinopteri; Cypriniformes; Danionidae. The record is from Rfam by way of RNAcentral.
GUUUCCGUAUUGUAGUGGUUAUCACGUUCGCCUCACACGCGAAAGGUCCCUAGUUCGAAACUGGGCGGAAACA